Molecule: ribosomal RNA, 491 nt
Filed under: uncultured bacterium
Lineage: Bacteria
Description: partial 16S ribosomal RNA
Rfam family: Bacterial small subunit ribosomal RNA
Source: RNAcentral
AGUGAACGCUGGCGGUAGGCCUAACACAUGCAAGUCGAACGGCAGCACAGUAAGAGCUUGCUCUUACGGGUGGCGAGUGGCGGACGGGUGAGGGAUACAUCGGAAUCUACUUUUUCGUGGGGGAUAACGUAGGGAAACUUACGCUAAUACCGCAUACGACCUACGGGUGAAAGCAGGGGAUCUUCGGACCUUGCGCGAUUGAAUGAGCCGAUGUCGGAUUAGCUAGUUGGCGGGGUAAAGGCCCACCAAGGCGACGGUCCGUAGCUGGUCUGAGAGGAUGAUCAGCCACACUGGAACUGAGACACGGUCCAGACUCCUACGGGAGGCAGCAGUGGGGAAUAUUGGACAAUGGGCGCAAGCCUGAUCCAGCCAUACCGCGUGGGUGAAGAAGGCCUUCGGGUUGUAAAGCCCUUUUGUUGGGAAAGAAAAGCAGCAGGUUAAUACCCCGCUGUUCUGACGGUACCCAAAGAAUAAGCACCGGCUAACUUCGU